This 253-nucleotide long non-coding RNA is filed under the name Malus domestica (apple). Its description in RNAcentral is "long non-coding RNA (MDOM_LNC003121)". The record is from RNAcentral. Lineage: Eukaryota; Viridiplantae; Streptophyta; Magnoliopsida; Rosales; Rosaceae.
AUCGCCCACUGCCUCGCUAAUUGGAACCUAAUGGAUCGUACACCGAGUAAGGAUGAAAGUGAAAAAAUAUAAAUUAAAUGGAUAUGCAAUUAAAUGGUUUAAUUGAAAAAUGGUCAAGAUUAAUUAAUUAGUUAAUUAAUUUAAUGAAAGGUUUGUAUUGGGCUUUUAAGUUGGUUUUGGGUUUUGGGGCCCAAAAGUGUUUUGGUCCACAAGGCCCAUUAUGUUCAAGUUGUAUGACAACUAAAACAAAAUG